Chinchilla lanigera (long-tailed chinchilla) is the source of this 537-nucleotide long non-coding RNA. RefSeq lists it as uncharacterized. The transcript has 3 exons. Lineage: Eukaryota; Metazoa; Chordata; Mammalia; Rodentia; Chinchillidae. The record is from RefSeq and is a predicted model, not a curated record.
CAAAUAUAUUUCUGUAGUCCUACUGCUUUUGCCUCUCAACACUCCUUGACCUUCUGCCUGGUAACAUCCCUCAACCCUCCUCCAGGAGAAUGUGGCUGCCAAAACUCUUCGCUGACACAUGUGGGUGAGACCUGUGCCCAGUGCUAACCCAGAUGUUCUUCCUUUUUCUUAAAAGAAGGCAAAGAAGGAUUUUGGCUGCAUAAAGGGCUUGUCGAUUUGAGAUUUCUCUGCUCCACUGUGUCUUCCCAGAUUUGAAAAUGCCAGUAUUCCGUGGAGUGUCACGCUGUGCUGUGCCAUCAGAGAGUGGUGGUUCUCGAAAUAUUGGGGCAAAGUGUGGAGACAGAUGGGGGUUCCGGGGGGUUCCAGCUUCUGCGCUUAUGCCCCAGCUGGAUGGUGGCUGGUUUCUGGCUUUCCUGUUUUGUGCCGGGGUUCAUUUUGAGUCAGUACUUCCCAAAUGACAGAAAAGCAUGAGCAGCGUUAGUAUUUUCCUGUUUUCCUUGGGGUUGAUUUAUAUUUUCUAACUCAAAUAAAUUAAUA